Molecule: long non-coding RNA, 1046 nt
Organism: Mauremys mutica (yellowpond turtle)
Lineage: Eukaryota; Metazoa; Chordata; Testudines; Geoemydidae
Exons: 3
Source: RefSeq, a predicted model, not a curated record
GGAGCACGACUUGCAAAACAGCUCAGUUUGCUACCAUAGCAGCCAAGACUGUCAUAACAAAUAAGAUGUUACAGUCCUUCUAGAUUCUCUGUGGACUUCCUGAAGAGGGAAGUAACAGCCUCCUUAAAAAGUUAAUGAGUUCUAGCAAGAGUUACACAACAUCUGAACAAGACUAGAGUUUCGUGGUGGGGUUACCAUUUCUAAAGUCUGCAUCCGGAGAACUUUACAAGAACAUUUGAGACACAAUCCGUAGCAAAACAACAUUAGAGCUCUGUUCAGCAAAAGGAUGGAUGGCUUGGAUAAGCAGUUUUCAAAUGGUGGGACAGGACCCAAAAGUAGGUCGUGAGAGAGUACCAGCUGAGUUGCACAAAGCAGCUUGAGACCUGCAAAACCCAAGGUCAUCAGGAUCCAGCAGGAGUCUUGACCAAGACGAAAAAUAGCAGCUCACUACACCUCUCCCUUCCAUCCACCACCUACUCCCAACAUCCAUUGGCUCAGGUGCUGAAGAAGUGCUUGAACCAUGACUAGUUUACACAUAUCUAAACUGGCCUGGAUUUGCAUAAAUCAGGUUGCUUUAUAAUUAGUUACUCAUGAAAAGAGUGGGCUACAUUUUCAGUGAAUAUUAUUUAUAACCAGUGGCCUGAACAGUUCUAGCAACACUUUCUACUUAUACACAGUGACUGCAAUUAAAAAAAAAAACAACACCACAUUUGCAAUAGUUACUGUGUUAAUCUCAGACUCCAGAUAUGUGGUUUCCUUCUAAAUUUAAAGAAAUCUGUGAUAAAUGUGAGGCACAUAUUGGGGCUUCUUAGUGGAUACUAUGGAAGCUUGCGUCAGGCAAGCAUUGCAAAGCUGUUUGUAAACAUUAAUUCUUCUAGGACUUCUGCAGGGUAAACAAAUACUUUGUUAUUACACACUUUGUAAAUGGCUAAACUGAAACAGAGAGGUCAGCUGACUUUCCCAAGGUCUAACAGCAAGUCAGUGAUUAAGGAUUGGUGGUCUCUGUUAUUGGGUUGUGCUAAAAGCUAAAUUUACUACCUUUCUAU